Molecule: ribosomal RNA, 496 nt
Filed under: uncultured bacterium
Lineage: Bacteria
Description: partial 16S ribosomal RNA
Rfam family: Bacterial small subunit ribosomal RNA
Source: RNAcentral
AUUGAACGCUGGCGGAAUGCUUUACACAUGCAAGUCGAACGGUAGAGGGGGCAACCCCUCGAGAGUGGCGAACGGGUGAGUAAUAUAUCGGAACGUGCCCAGUCGUGGGGGAUAACGUAGCGAAAGUUACGCUAAUACCGCAUACGAUCUAAGGAUGAAAGCGGGGGAUCGCAAGACCUCGCGCGAUUGGAGCGGCCGAUAUCAGAUUAGGUAGUUGGUGGGGUAAAGGCUCACCAAGCCAAAGAUCUGUAGCUGGUCUGAGAGGACGACCAGCAACACUGGAACUGGGACACGGUCCAGACUCCUACGGGAGGCAGGAGUGGGGAAUUUUGGACAAUGGACGCAAGUCUGAUCCAGCCAUUCCGCGUGCAGGAUGAAGGCCCUCGGGUUGUAAACUGCUUUUGUACGGAACGAAAAGGUCUCUCUUAAUACGGGGGGCUCAUGACGGUACCGUAAGAAUAAGCACCGGCUAACUACGUGCCAGCCGCCGCCGUAA